UACGUAGGGGGCGAGCGUUGUUCGGAUUUACUGGGCGUAAAGCGCGCGUAGGCGGCCUGAUAAGUCGGAUGUGAAACCCCUCGGCUUAACCGAGGAUCCGCACCCGAAACUGCCAGGCUUGAGUCUAGGAGAGGAGAGCGGAAUUCCCAGUGUAGCGGUGAAAUGCGUAGAUAUUGGGAGGAACACCAGUGGCGAAGGCGGCUCUCUGGACUAGUACUGACGCUGAGGCGCGAAAGCUAGGGGAGCGAACGGG
This 253-nucleotide ribosomal RNA is filed under the name uncultured bacterium. Its description in RNAcentral is "partial 16S ribosomal RNA". It matches the Rfam family "Bacterial small subunit ribosomal RNA", at positions 524 to 776 of the family's 1533-position model. The record is from RNAcentral.